AGCUGUUACGGUUUUUUUUUUUUAGGGUUCGGUGUUUUACUGUUGAGCUGCUCAGUGCCCAGCUUAGAGGACCAGGAAAAGGAGUCACCGGCCAUAUGCUGGAGGCUUGAGACACGGCACAGCGGCGCAGCUCGCCUCGCUAUGGUUGGUGGUGGCAGUGGAGCUUGCGAUUGCCACGCGGCUGGAGGGUCCUUUAGGUUGUUUGAGGGACAUUCAUCAAGGAAACCGGAGAAACUUAAAAUGCUCUUCCGCUUCUUUGGAACAGUCACAGAGAAAAGUGAACUCCUUUCAUUCUUGCAGUAAUUUUUCUUGCUGAUGGGAACAGUUCAAGUCAAGUGACAUAUUUUGAAAGAACAAAGAGGAACUACAGAAUCAUUGCUUACAUUGACACCGGCCCUGUUGUCCCAAUGGAUGGGUUUUUUUUGGAUGAACGUCAAAAUUGACCCUGCUGUUAAAGCUUGAAACUUGGAUCUGUUGUAUCUGAGUUCUCUCCUCAAAAAAAGACCUUCAGGAAGUAUCAGAUAACUGAAACAUACCAGAUCACAGCACCACAUGCCUCCUGCCCCUCCCUAAUUUCUGUUCUCUUAUACAUUGUUAAAUUUUUUUCCUGCCCCUAUUAGUCAAGCCCAUGGAUUUGAGACUGAGCUCCCAGCUCCUGGGCCGCAGCACCAGGUUAAAGCUUUCUUCCUUGGCAGUACUUGUCACCUCAGUGACUGGCUUUUUCUCCGAUGAGCAGGAGGACCUGGACGAAACCCCUAGUGUUUGGUCAAGGAACUUGAUGCUCCCUAAAUCCAAAUAUUACGGUUAAAAGAAGAGAGAGGAAAUGUGUGCAGAGAAAGUGUAUUUUACAAAUGAAUUAAAGGUGGAUUCUGAGUUACAGGUUUAUAGAUUUACCUAGAGUUUUGAGUUCAGGAAGCCAUCAUUCUUUAGAGGGCAAUGACCAAACAGUACCAGCAGAAAUUGAAGUACCAGCAGAAGGCUAAGAAGGGAUCAUGGCACAAGCUGCAGUUUCCACCCUGCCCAUUGAAGAUGAGGAGUCCAUGGCAGAUGAG
This 1052-nucleotide long non-coding RNA is filed under the name Homo sapiens (human). RNAcentral describes it as "HSALNT0352021". Lineage: Eukaryota; Metazoa; Chordata; Mammalia; Primates; Hominidae. The record is from RNAcentral.